RNAcentral lists this ribosomal RNA (469 nucleotides) under uncultured Alphaproteobacteria bacterium. RNAcentral's name for it is "bacterial SSU rRNA". It matches the Rfam family "Bacterial small subunit ribosomal RNA", at positions 9 to 524 of the family's 1533-position model. Lineage: Bacteria; Pseudomonadati; Pseudomonadota; Alphaproteobacteria. The record is from RNAcentral.
GAGUUUGAUCUUGGCUCAGAGCGAACGCUGGCGGCAGGCCUAACACAUGCAAGUCGAACGAACCCUUCGGGGUUAGUGGCGGACGGGUGAGUAACACGUGGGAACGUACCCUUAGGUUCGGAACAACACAGGGAAACUUGUGCUAAUGCCGAAUGUGCCCUUCGGGGGAAAGAUUUAUCGCCUUUGGAGCGGCCCGCGUCUGAUUAGCUAGUUGGUGAGGUAAAGGCUCACCAAGGCUUCGAUCAGUAGCUGGUCUGAGAGGAUGAUCAGCCACACUGGGACUGAGACACGGCCCAGACUCCUACGGGAGGCAGCAGUGGGGAACCUUGCGCAAUGGGCGAAAGCCUGACGCAGCCAUGCCGCGUGAAUGAUGAAGGCCUUAGGGUUGUAAAGUUCUUUUACCCGUGACGAUGAUGACGGUAACGGGGGAAUAAGCUCCGGCUAACUUCGUGCCAGCCGCCGCAGUAAG